This 72-nucleotide transfer RNA is filed under the name Candidatus Desantisbacteria bacterium CG1_02_49_89. Its description in RNAcentral is "tRNA-Gln". It matches the Rfam family "tRNA". Rfam says of the family: Transfer RNA (tRNA) molecules are approximately 80 nucleotides in length. Their secondary structure includes four short double-helical elements and three loops (D, anti-codon, and T loops). RNAcentral also lists the same sequence under 2 other names. Lineage: Bacteria; Candidatus Desantisiibacteriota. The record is from RNAcentral.
UGGGGAGUGGCCUAACGGUAAGGCACAUGCCUCUGGAGCAUGGGAUUGAAGGUUCGAGUCCUUCCUCCCCAG